CUUUUGGUCAUGUAGUGUUUCUACCUAAUGUUAGAUAAUAGCAGGUGUCCACAUACUUUUGGUCAUGUAGUGUAUAAAUCUCAUGAUUCAAUGAUUAUUUAAUUCUCACUAUCUUUAUUUAAUUUUUACAGAUGAACUCAAAGAAGAGCUGAGGAAAGCUAAAGAGAUUAUCCAAUCCCUCUCCACCUCUCCAGGUGGUCAACAGAAAACACAGACUCCUUCCCAAAAGUCUGAGGGGAUUGAAGGGAUGGAGAUGGAGUCUAUACCAGGGAGGAAGUCUGGUCCUGGUCCAGGGAGGAAGUCUGCUCCUGGUCCAGGGAGGAAGUCUGCUCCUGAGAUGAAGCCUUUACUGGCUGCUGGACCACAGAAGGAUGAUCUGGAUGAUCUGGAGAGGGGAGGAAGAGUUACUACAGAAUUUAACUAUGUGCUAUAGGGUUACUAUAGAGAGAUUAUAACUAUAGAGCUGAGUUACUAUAGAGAGACUAUGACUAUAGAGCUGAGUUACUAUAGAGAGACUAUAACUAUAGAGAGACUAUAACUAUAGAGCUGAGUUACUAUAGAGA
Non-coding RNA from Salmo salar (Atlantic salmon), 563 nucleotides. The record is from RefSeq and is a predicted model, not a curated record. NCBI's taxonomy places the organism in Eukaryota, Metazoa, Chordata, Actinopteri, Salmoniformes, Salmonidae.